RNAcentral lists this ribosomal RNA (491 nucleotides) under uncultured bacterium. RNAcentral describes it as "partial 16S ribosomal RNA". It matches the Rfam family "Bacterial small subunit ribosomal RNA", at positions 29 to 507 of the family's 1533-position model. The record is from RNAcentral.
AGUGAACGCUGGCGGUAGGCCUAACACAUGCAAGUCGAACGGCAGCACAGUAAGAGCUUGCUCUUACGGGUGGCGAGUGGCGGGCGGGUGAGGAAUACAUCGGAAUCUACUUUUUCGUGGGGAUAACGCAGGGAAACUUACGCUAAUACCGCAUACGACCUACGGGUGAAAGCAGGGGAUCUUCGGACCUUGCGCGAUUGAAUGAGCCGAUGUCGGAUUAGCUAGUUGGCGGGGUAAAGGCCCACCAAGGCGACGAUCCGUAGCUGGUCUGAGAGGAUGAUCAGCCACACUGGAACUGAGACACGGUCCAGACUCCUACGGGAGGCAGCAGUGGGGAAUAUUGGACAAUGGGCGCAAGCCUGAUCCAGCCAUACCGCGUGGGUGAAGAAGGCCUUCGGGUUGUAAAGCCCUUUUGUUGGGAAAGAAAAGCAGCAGGUUAAUACCCCGCUGUUCUGACGGUACCCAAAGAAUAAGCACCGGCUAACUUCGUG